RNAcentral lists this ribosomal RNA (467 nucleotides) under uncultured bacterium. RNAcentral's name for it is "bacterial SSU rRNA". It matches the Rfam family "Bacterial small subunit ribosomal RNA", at positions 328 to 793 of the family's 1533-position model. The record is from RNAcentral.
UUACCAGACUCCUACGGGAGGCAGCAGUGAGGAAUAUUGGUCAAUGGGCGAGAGCCUGAACCAGCCAAGUCGCGUGAGGGACGACGGCCCUACGGGUUGUAAACCUCUUUUGCCGGGGGACAAACGGCGGCACGCGUGCCGUCCUGAGGGUACCCGGAGAAAAAGCAUCGGCUAACUCCGUGCCAGCAGCCGCGGUAAUACGGAGGAUGCGAGCGUUAUCCGGAUUUAUUGGGUUUAAAGGGUGCGUAGGCGGGCUUUUAAGUCAGCGGUAAAAAUUCGGGGCUCAACCCCGGCCGGCCGUUGAAACUGGGGGCCUUGAGUGGGCGAGAAGAAGGCGGAAUGCGUGGUGUAGCGGUGAAAUGCAUAGAUAUCACGCAGAACCCCGAUUGCGAAGGCAGCAUGCCGGCUCCACACUGACGCUGAGGCACGAAAGCGUGGGUAUCGAACAGGAUUAGAUACCCCGGUAA